ACUUUCASCAACGGAUCUCUGGGCUCUCGCAUCGAUGAANAACGCACCGGAUUGCGAUAAGUAAUGUGAAUUGCAGAUUUUCAGUGAAUCAUCGAAUCUUUGAACGCACCUUGCGCUCCUUGGUAUUCCGAGGAGCAUGCCUGUUUGAGUGUCA
Molecule: ribosomal RNA, 154 nt
Filed under: Butyriboletus autumniregius
Lineage: Eukaryota; Fungi; Basidiomycota; Agaricomycetes; Boletales; Boletaceae
Description: 5.8S ribosomal RNA
Rfam family: 5.8S ribosomal RNA
About the family: 5.8S ribosomal RNA (5.8S rRNA) is a component of the large subunit of the eukaryotic ribosome. It is transcribed by RNA polymerase I as part of the 45S precursor that also contains 18S and 28S rRNA.
Source: RNAcentral